RNAcentral lists this ribosomal RNA (268 nucleotides) under uncultured bacterium. Its description in RNAcentral is "partial 16S ribosomal RNA". It matches the Rfam family "Bacterial small subunit ribosomal RNA", at positions 1 to 263 of the family's 1533-position model. The record is from RNAcentral.
UAGUGAGUUUGAUCCUGGCUCAGGACGAACGCUGGCGGCGUGCUUAACACAUGCAAGUCGAACGGACUCCAUCCAGUAGCAAUACUGGGGAAGAGUUAGUGGCGAACGGGUGAGUAACACGUGAGAAACCUGUCCUGGUCUCUGGGAUAACAGUCGGAAACAACUGCUAAUACCGGAUGCCGUCGGAGCGUCGCAUGGCGCGCUGAACGAAAGGGUUACUGGAUCGAGGAGGGUCUCGCGGCCUAUCAGCUUGUUGGUGGGGUAACGG